CAGGGAGACAACAAAAUGUUAAAUAUUAAUUUUGUCACCUUAGGUCGAUCGGUAUCUCACAUUCUUGAUUAUUCAAGGAUUUUAUUUCCUAAGUUUUUUCUAGGUCACACCCAUUACUUUUCCUGGGCCAUUAGCUCAGGUGGUUAGAGCGCACCCCUGAUAAGGGUGAGGUCCCUGGUUCAAGUCCAGGAUGGCCCAUAUCUCUAUGUUGGGGGUAUAGCUCAGUUGGUAGAGCGCCUGCUUUGCAAGCAGGAUGUCAGCGGUUCGAGUCCGCUUACCUCCACUGAUCACCACCUCUUCAUAAUUUAUAGAAGGGAAUUGUUUUGAGUUAUGAUCAUAUUCUGAACGAAUCUAGCUUCCUAAUUGAAUCUAUUAAGAUGCUGGACUCAUUGAAUUAAUUUCAUUGUUUUCAGAGAACCUUGACAACUGCAUAGAUUAUUUUAAAGACAAUAAGCAUCUUUAAUGAUGCAGAUUUAUUAUUUGUGCGAAUGCAUUAAAUAACAAUUCUAUUAAGCUGAUGCUUCAAUUUUGAAGUUAUU
RNAcentral lists this transfer RNA (539 nucleotides) under uncultured cyanobacterium. Its description in RNAcentral is "partial 16S-23S ribosomal RNA intergenic spacer". The stretch from base 211 to 283 matches the Rfam family "tRNA". The record is from RNAcentral. Lineage: Bacteria; Bacillati; Cyanobacteriota.